This 399-nucleotide ribosomal RNA is filed under the name uncultured bacterium. RNAcentral's name for it is "partial 16S ribosomal RNA". It matches the Rfam family "Bacterial small subunit ribosomal RNA", at positions 360 to 776 of the family's 1533-position model. The record is from RNAcentral.
AAUAUGGGACAUUGGGCGCAAGCCUGAUCCAGCCAUGCCGCGUGAUUGAUGAAGGCCCUAGGGUUAUAAAUCUCUUUCACCGGUGAAGAUAAUGACGGUAACCGGGCAAGAAGCCUCGGCUAACUUCGUGCCAUCAUCCGCGGUAAUACGAAGGGGGCUAGCGUUGUUCGGAAUUACUGGGCGUAAAGCGCACGUAGGCGGACAUUUAAGUCAGGGGUGAAAUCCCGGGGCCCAACCCCGGAACUGCCUUUGAUACUGGAUGUCUGGAGUAUGGAAGAGGUGAGUGGAAUUCCGAGUGUAGAGGUGAAAUUCGUAGAUAUUCGGAGGAACACCAGUGGCGAAGGCGGCUCACUGGUCCAUUACUGACGCUGAGGUGCGAAAGCGUGGGGAGCAAACAGG